AAAUAUAUUAUUAAAAAAACUUAAGAUUUUAAAAUAAACAUUUUAUAUUAUUUAAAAAUAAUACAUAUUUUCAAUAAAUCUGAAAUCUAUAUUAAAAAAAUAUUUAAUUAAAUGUAUUCUUUAAAUAUCAAGUAGACCAAUUAUUUAAAAAAGAAAUAUUUCAAUAUUUUAAAUAACUUUAAAAAUAAUAACAUAUCCUAUAUAAAAUAUUAAAAAUAUUUUAUUUUUA
RNAcentral lists this transfer RNA (229 nucleotides) under Pneumocystis jirovecii. Its description in RNAcentral is "tRNA-Pseudo(TTA)". The record is from RNAcentral. Lineage: Eukaryota; Fungi; Ascomycota; Pneumocystomycetes; Pneumocystales; Pneumocystaceae.